RNAcentral lists this ribosomal RNA (492 nucleotides) under Triticum aestivum (bread wheat). RNAcentral describes it as "partial small subunit ribosomal RNA". Lineage: Eukaryota; Viridiplantae; Streptophyta; Magnoliopsida; Poales; Poaceae. The record is from RNAcentral.
AUGAACAGGGAGGUUUUGGCUCUCAAACAAAAUGAUUUACCUGAUGAAAUUUACUGGAAGUUUGAUAGUUCUGGUAUAUAUUCAACCAAAUCAAUGUACAGAUGGUUGGAAAACGAUAUUGCUGGUUCCAAUUUCAAAUGGAUUUGGGAUGCUAAACUCCCUUUGAAAAUUCAAAUCUUCUUAUGGCAAGUGGGGCAAAAUGCCAUUUUGACUAGAGAUAAUAUGAAAAAAAGAGCUUGGCCCGGAAACCCCUGUUGCUCCUUUUGCAACCAGUUGGAAACAACCUCGCACUUGUUGUUCCUGUGUCCGGUGUCUAGAGUAAUCUGGAGAACCGUAGGGGCUCUUCUUGGGACGGAUUGCUGUCCUAAUUCCAUCUGGCAGUAUUACACCUGGAUGUACAGCUUCCUACCUGGUUUUGAAAAAAAUUUAUACUGUGGGCUUGGCAGCGAUAUGCUGGGCCAUAUGGCUAGCCCGGAACAGAGCUACCUUUGA